GCCGCUGCCCGGCAUCGAGGCGGAGAGUCCAUUCGUGCGCACGAUCCAGUACGCCAUCUCGCUAGGCGGAGACACGGACACCAUCGGCUCCAUGGCGGGUGCCAUCGCCGGGGCGUACCACGGCAUGGAAGCGGUGCCGGCGCCGCUGCUCCAGUACUGCGAGAAGGCGGACGAGGCACUCGCUCAGGCCGAUGCGCUGUUUGAGCUGCUGGAGCGCUAGCGGCUCGCCGAGGCGUCCCUCCGGCCUGUGACGUUGUCUGGUCGCGGCCGGAGCCCGCGUCGUGAGGCGCCCCUGAGGUCGCUGGGAGCUCCGCUGCGGCGCGGGGCGCGCGUGAGCAGGAGAUGACAUCAGGCGCUGACUGGCCACCAGGCUGAAGCCAGGCGCUGGAGUGUUCAGGCCACCCCGGGUGAUAAUUUGUGUACGCCGCGCGUGUAGGUGGGUGGUUCGAAGGCUCGAACUUAUGCACCUGUGCCAGUGGCAGGGUCACUUCGCGGAUGCUGCUCGUGUUGUGUUCUGAUCUGUUUGUGCGGGCAUUCGUAAGGUUCGGAAUUGUCCGAUGUUGCCGUUGGUUAUCUUACGAGCUUGCCAUUGUCCUGACGCGAUGCCAGUUUAAUAUUCCUUUUCGGCGGGUCGCUAAGCUUUUUGCGGUAAGCUCUUUGCAGUCGACUCACCAUGAUCAGACAUCCUUUUCCUGUACCGAUGGCCUUCAAGCACAUAUGGCUUCCCAAGUCAAAUAUCUUUUACAGCGGGAUGUUUCAAGGUGACAAUAAAUGAACGAUGCAUGGUGAACAAUGUCCCGCUGCCUCAAUGUCUCGCUGUCCUAUCUGCCUCCACGAUUCCAUGGCAAGAAUUUGCAUGAUUAAACAGUUAAUCAGGGUCAUUGCUUCUCUCCAUCAUUAGCAUGCAUGCCCCAGUGUCGCAAGGGUCGC
This is a long non-coding RNA of Pollicipes pollicipes, 930 nucleotides long. RefSeq lists it as uncharacterized. The record is from RefSeq and is a predicted model, not a curated record. NCBI's taxonomy places the organism in Eukaryota, Metazoa, Arthropoda, Thecostraca, Pollicipedomorpha, Pollicipedidae. The transcript is spliced from 3 exons.